This 73-nucleotide transfer RNA is filed under the name Thermoplasmatales archaeon SM1-50. Its description in RNAcentral is "tRNA-Asp". It matches the Rfam family "tRNA". Rfam says of the family: Transfer RNA (tRNA) molecules are approximately 80 nucleotides in length. Lineage: Archaea; Methanobacteriati; Thermoplasmatota; Thermoplasmata; Thermoplasmatales. RNAcentral also lists the same sequence under 7 other names. The record is from RNAcentral.
GCCCCGGUAGUGUAGUGGCCUAUCAUGAAGCCCUGUCGAGGCUUCGACUUGGGUUCGAAUCCCAGCCGGGGCG